CACUCCACAAAGACGCCGUCACGAACAAUAGCACCCGCAACCUUGGUCGUCUGCCAGGCUCCUGGCUCCACACGCCCCAUCCGUCCUCCGCGAGCUUGACCCCAUCCUCCCCGAUCACCGCCAGCCCCUCCUGCAGCCUGACCAGGUUCAUCUCAACUCACCAGGCAUAACCCAAUAACCGUCACGACACAAGAAGGGGAGCCCAAGGUCGAAGUUCAUUCGAGGCUCUGGGGCCUGUGGGAAACGUAGUCCAACACAGAAAACGUCCAGCCCUCCGAGCAGAGAGUGAAGCCCACCGGCAGCUGAGGCCCUUCCGAGCCUCCGACUCCCGGGAAUUCCAGGGUGUGCGGAUCGCUCGCCGAUGGCGAGGAGUUGCAGCUGGUGGGCCUUUCAGACGCCAAAGAGCCAGAAGCCAAAGCCACAUUCCUGAACAUGUUUGCAUGUGAAAAGACACGGAUACAUGUUCCCAGAAGGUUCUGGAAGGAAGGAAAAUUUGGGCAAGACAUGCGAGCUGCAUAGCAAGUAGAAGGAAUUACCCAGGAGGUCCUGGUAAGGAACAAGGAACUAAUAAGCCACCACCAACCGGAAGAGUUCAGGAAAGGUCAAAAGGAGACACCACAUGUCCAACCACCUCCAGAAUCCUUCUCACUGGUAUCCAUCUUGGCUGAACAAGACAUACACCACCAGGAAGGACUCUGAGUCAGAAUGAUUGGCUAAAGACAACCCGGAAACCAAUCCCACCUGGCAUAGCUGUUCUCCUGGGUUCCCUUACCCUCCUGCUCUCCACCCAGGUGCCCUUUCCCAAUAAAAUCUCUU
Long non-coding RNA from Dama dama (fallow deer), 816 nucleotides. RefSeq lists it as uncharacterized. The record is from RefSeq and is a predicted model, not a curated record. Lineage: Eukaryota; Metazoa; Chordata; Mammalia; Artiodactyla; Cervidae. The transcript has 3 exons.